AUUGAACGCUGGCGGCAGGCCUAACACAUGCAAGUCGAACGGUAACAGGAAGAAGCUUGCUUCUUUGCUGACGAGUGGCGGACGGGUGUGUAAUGUCUGGGAAACUGCCUGAUGGAGGGGGAUAACUACUGGAAACGGUAGCUAAUACCGCAUAACGUCGCAAGCCCAAAGAGGGGGACCUUCGGGCCUCUUGCCUUCGGAUGUGCCCAGAUGGGAUUAGCUAGUAGGUGGGGUAACGGCUCACCUAGGCGACGAUCCCUAGCUGGUCUGAGAGGGUGACCAGCCACACUGGAACUGAGACACGGUCCAGACUCCUACGGGAGGCAGCAGUGGGGAAUAUUGCACAAUGGGCGCAAGCCUGAUGCAGCCAUGCCGCGUGUAUGAAGAAGGCCUUCGGGUUGUAAAGUACUUUCAGCGGGGAGGAAGGGAGUAAAGUUAAUACCUUCGCUCAUUGACGUUACCCGCAGAAGAAGCACCGGCUAACUCCGUG
Molecule: ribosomal RNA, 490 nt
Filed under: uncultured bacterium
Lineage: Bacteria
Description: partial 16S ribosomal RNA
Rfam family: Bacterial small subunit ribosomal RNA
Source: RNAcentral